This 141-nucleotide small nuclear RNA is filed under the name Aotus nancymaae (Ma's night monkey). RNAcentral describes it as "U4 spliceosomal RNA (ENSANAG00000011357.1)". It matches the Rfam family "U4 spliceosomal RNA". From Rfam's summary of the family: U4 small nuclear RNA (U4 snRNA) is a component of the major U2-dependent spliceosome. The record is from Rfam by way of RNAcentral. Lineage: Eukaryota; Metazoa; Chordata; Mammalia; Primates; Aotidae.
AACUUUGCACAGUGGCAGUAUCGUAGCCAAUGAGGUUUAUCUGAGACGCAAUUAUUACUAAUUGAAAACUUUUCCCAAUACACCGCCAUGACGAUUUUCAAUACAGUCGGCACUGGCAAUUUUUGACAGUCUCUACGGAGA